UGUAAUACUUGCUACCUCUAAAUUCUGGUUCCGCCUAACAAGCAUCUGCCUUCUAUUUAUACCUCUUUGCUUAACCCUCUUUACCAUCAUCGAUCAGGCGUCGGAAAGUUCACGAUUGGCGGCAGGAUGAAAUAGAUAAAACAACGUGGUGUUGGCAUUCAUCUGUAUGAAAAUGAUGAUAAAAAAGAAGUUAAACUUGCAUACCUGAUGGAUUCCAAAGAAACAGACAAGUGCUCUUAUGCAGAAAAAAUGAAGGUUGCAAUGCAACUCAAACGGCAUAAUACGCAGAGUCAAAUAUCCCCAUAGAAGGGCAGCGAUGUUGCUAUCGCGGCGUAUGAGAAGACAAGCUUCUGCAAAGCACAACCUUCUUGAAAGUCCGAUUUUUGCUGUCCCAGAGCAGUCAACAUCAUCUUGGGAAGCAAGAUUUCUGAAACAAUCUGCUCUUACCAUACAAGAACCUCCUUCAAUUCCUGAAAAAGGUUAUAUUGUUGCACUCAUAUUUAUAUACCAUAUAUUAUUAACACAAUGGUGCUUAUGUUUUGUUUGGCGACUUAGUAUGAUACCUUAUUUGUCUUAUAUGUGCCUAUAAACUAAAACACAAAAAUAUUACAUGUUCUUUUACACUCUAUUUUGCACCUAAUGAGGCUUCACUGUAUGCUUUUAAACAUCUUGGCUUUUCUGUUUACCAGCUGCCAGCCAUCAAAGAUGCAUGACUACAUCGCGGGAUAAUUAAGAAAAAGGAAAGGGUAUAUUGGAUACCCCUAUCAUUCGUGAAACAUGUAACCUUUAGAUUAUACAAUUUUGAGAAUGACAUAUUUUUUUGGUACA
Molecule: non-coding RNA, 828 nt
Organism: Nicotiana tabacum (common tobacco)
Lineage: Eukaryota; Viridiplantae; Streptophyta; Magnoliopsida; Solanales; Solanaceae
Source: RefSeq, a predicted model, not a curated record